This 264-nucleotide ribosomal RNA is filed under the name Bacillus subtilis. RNAcentral describes it as "partial 16S ribosomal RNA". It matches the Rfam family "Bacterial small subunit ribosomal RNA", at positions 552 to 799 of the family's 1533-position model. Lineage: Bacteria; Bacillati; Bacillota; Bacilli; Caryophanales; Bacillaceae. The record is from RNAcentral.
GUCAAUCCGUGUCGGAUAUUGGGCGUAAGCGGCGUCGCAGGCGGUUUCUUAAGUCUGAUGUGAAAGCCCCCGGCUCAACCGGGGAGGGUCAUUGGAAACUGGGGAACUUGAGUGCAGAAGAGGAGAGUGGAAUUCCACGUGUAGCGGUGAAAUGCGUAGAGAUGUGGAGGAACACCAGUGGCGAAGGCGACUCUCUGGUCUGUAACUGACGCUGAGGAGCGAAAGCGUGGGGAGCGAACAGGAUUAGAUACCCCGUAGUCCAAG